ACUCCUACGGGAGGCAGCAGUGGGGAAUCUUAGACAAUGGGCGCAAGCCUGAUCUAGCCAUGCCGCGUGAGCGAUAGAAGGCCUUAGGGUUGUAAAGCUCUUUCAGUGGGGAAGAUAAUGACUGUACCCACAGAAGAAGCCCCGGCUAACUCCGUGCCAGCAGCCGCGGUAAU
This 173-nucleotide ribosomal RNA is filed under the name uncultured bacterium. RNAcentral describes it as "partial 16S ribosomal RNA". It matches the Rfam family "Bacterial small subunit ribosomal RNA", at positions 335 to 524 of the family's 1533-position model. The record is from RNAcentral.